GGACCUUCACCACCAACCCUCACAGCUCCUCCACCUCUCUUAAUAUCUUCUGUGAACUGGUAACUGUCCUCACAGUCUCAUUCCUGUUUCAUCUCCAUGAAGGAGUCGAGUUCCCAGAGUCUCAGGAUGAACAGUUUGCAGGACGAGUCCAGUGGGACAAAGACGUCCUCAGAGAAGGACGACUCAGACUUCAUGUGUCCAGACUCAGGACUGAAGACUCUGGAAUGUAUGUGUGUAAAGUUUUCACAAGUUAUGGGAGGAGCUCUGGUAGAUGUUGGCUCAAUGUCUUAGCAGCUGCUGAUGAACCCAAACCUCAGAGACCAACAGUGAGACCAGAACCAGAGAGUCCACGAAACAUCUGGAUCUUCUACGUUCAACUGGCAGCAAUAACAGUAGUAAUAGCAGUUCUACUGAUCCUCGGUCUUUGUUUUAAAUCUAUUAAUAAUUUCUUUGCUGAUAAUAAAAGAAAUAGCCUUCAGUUUGCAGCUAUAAGUGUUUAAAUAGAAACGAGUCAUCAGGACUAACAGCACUAAGUCUGGAGGACCCUCUUUAAAGAAAUUAUCAGAGGAUAAAGUCCCAGUCAUAAAAACAUAAUCAGACUCCUGGAGUCUCUCCUCCGUCUGUUCUUAGUGUCAGAAAACUAUUUGUGAUGUAAAUGUUGUGUUAUAUCUUUAUAUUUUACACAAGGUUCAUGUUACUAUAGGUGGGAGGUUAAAUGAAGUUGACAUGUUACAUAAUGUUUUGUCUUCUUCUAGUUGUGUAUUUACUUGCAUCCAUAUAUUAUGUCAUAUGUUAUCUUCCAUGUUACCUGUCUAGGGGCUACUGAUGUAAAUUAGCAUUGAUGCUAACUCUGGCAUGUUCACAUCUGGAUGUUCAUUAACCAGCUCUGUCCAUGUUCAGUUACUAUGAAUUUAAAUUGAGUUAUUACACAAGAAAUGA
Long non-coding RNA from Etheostoma cragini (Arkansas darter), 939 nucleotides. RefSeq lists it as uncharacterized. The transcript has 2 exons. The record is from RefSeq and is a predicted model, not a curated record. NCBI's taxonomy places the organism in Eukaryota, Metazoa, Chordata, Actinopteri, Perciformes, Percidae.